Molecule: long non-coding RNA, 237 nt
Organism: Leopardus geoffroyi (Geoffroy's cat)
Lineage: Eukaryota; Metazoa; Chordata; Mammalia; Carnivora; Felidae
Exons: 3
Source: RefSeq, a predicted model, not a curated record
UCCACUUGUAGUGUCUCAGCCCAUGGACCAAUGUCAUAUUGACUGAAUAAAACAAUUUGACUUGGAGGAAGUUUGAUACAUGCUGGAUGAGAAAAAGUGUCUAAGCAGCUUUGAGGAACCAGGCAGAGUAGGAUCAACACUGUUUUCUUGUGGCACCUCUUGAGCCAUUCAGUGGUUCUCAAAUAUCCAACAAGAGACACAGAGCAUGAGUGGGGGAGAGGCCAAGAGAAGAGGGAG